GUAGGGUGCAAGCGUUAAUCGGAAUUACUGGGCGUAAAGCGUGCGCAGGCGGUUAUGUAAGACAGUUGUGAAAUCCCCGGGCUCAACCUGGGAACUGCAUCUGUGACUGCAUAGCUAGAGUACGGUAGAGGGGGAUGGAAUUCCGCGUGUAGCAGUGAAAUGCGUAGAUAUGCGGAGGAACACCGAUGGCGAAGGCAAUCCCCUGGACCUGUACUGACGCUCAUGCACGAAAGCGUGGGGAGCAAACAGGAUUAGAUACCCUGGUAGUCCACGCCCCAAACGAUGUCAACUGGUUGUUGGGUCUUCACUGACUCAGUAACGAAGCUAACGCGUGAAGUUGACCGCCUGGGGAGUACGGCCGCAAGGUUG
This 369-nucleotide ribosomal RNA is filed under the name uncultured Pseudomonadota bacterium. Its description in RNAcentral is "bacterial SSU rRNA". It matches the Rfam family "Bacterial small subunit ribosomal RNA", at positions 527 to 896 of the family's 1533-position model. The record is from RNAcentral. Lineage: Bacteria; Pseudomonadati; Pseudomonadota.